GCGGGAAUGGUGUAAACGGCAACAUGAGGGUCCUUGCUGCACGGACAGCAGACGCUUGCUCCUGGUUCAAGUCCGGGUUCCCGUA
RNAcentral lists this transfer RNA (85 nucleotides) under Chloroflexota bacterium. RNAcentral's name for it is "Chloroflexi bacterium tRNA-OTHER". Lineage: Bacteria; Bacillati; Chloroflexota. The record is from RNAcentral.